GCCAGACUCCUACGGGAGGCAGCAGUGGGGGAUAUUGCACAAUGGGGGGAACCCUGAUGCAGCGACGCCGCGUGGGUGAAGGAGCGUUUCGGCGCGUAAAGCCCUAUCGGCAGGGAAGAAGGAGGACGGUACCUGACUAAGAAGCCCCGGCUAACUACGUGCCAGCAGCCGCGGUAAUACGUAGGGGGCAAGCGUUAUCCGGAUUUACUGGGUGUAAAGGGGGCGCAGACGGCAGCGCAAGCCAGGAGUGAAAGCCCGGGGCCCAACCCCGGGACUGCUCUUGGAACUGCGCGGCUGGAGUGCAGGAGGGGCAGGCGGAAUUCCUGGUGUAGCGGUGAAAUGCGUAGAUAUCAGGAGGAACACCAGUGGCGAAGGCGGCUUUCUGGCUCAUAACUGACGCUGAGGCGCGAAAGCGUGGGGAGCAAACAGGAUUAGAUACCCUGGUA
RNAcentral lists this ribosomal RNA (446 nucleotides) under uncultured bacterium. RNAcentral's name for it is "partial 16S ribosomal RNA". It matches the Rfam family "Bacterial small subunit ribosomal RNA", at positions 330 to 792 of the family's 1533-position model. The record is from RNAcentral.